GUCUUGCUCAACAUAUUAUGGUAUCAAAUAUGGCAUCAUUUUUUUUUCUUUUAUUUUUUUUAUUUGGAAAAGUUUGAUUUCACAAGAUACAAGUAAAUACAUGCCCACACACUUCCAUAAACACUCACAAACAUCCACAUCUGAGAUGCAUUUUGUUUUCAUAUAUCAUAUACAAGACCCUAUGUUCAUCUGAGCUAAAUUUAGAAAGAGAUAAAAUUUUCAACGUGCUGUAAUGUACUCUCAAUGUGAUGGGGAAAAUAAGUAGAAAUAAAUUGCAAUUGUGGUGCUGAUGAAUUAAAAGUAUGGCAGGAUGAAAAGACAGGCUGUUCUUUUAAGGGGGAAAUUGUAUUCUGUAAUUUAUGGGCCAGUCAUUGAAUUGGGCUCAGCUACUUGCAUGUGCACUUGUUGCAUUUUGAAAUGAGAAUGAUUUGAUGAAACUUCAAGAAUGACCUAGCUUGAUGGUAAAGAUUGAGUUGAUACUCCAAUCUUUCAACCCCUAAAUUUUUCAUUAAUAAAUAUUAGUUGAGUUUGCACAUUCAGCUGUUUGAUUCAAUUUGUUUAAACAGGUGGGAAGUUUAGAGGAUGUU
This 587-nucleotide unclassified non-coding RNA is filed under the name Hevea brasiliensis (rubber tree). Lineage: Eukaryota; Viridiplantae; Streptophyta; Magnoliopsida; Malpighiales; Euphorbiaceae. The record is from RNAcentral.